CAUCUGGACCGGAUGAUCGCUGUCCUAGGGUUUAAGCCCGGCGCCGCCGAGCUGUUCCUUAAGGAGAGAGGAAAGUCCGAACUCCACAGAGCAGUGUGCCAGGUAACGCCUGGGGGCCGCGGUUCAAGCCGUGGCUACGGCUCAGUGCCACAGAAAACAUACCGCCUGUCUAAGGUAAGGGUGAAAAGGUGCGGUAAGAGCGCACCGCCUGAACAGUAAUGCUCAGGGCAGGGCAAACCCCACACGGAGCAAGACCAAAUAGGGAAGGAUUCGCCGCUUGCGGUGGAGCGUGCCCGCUCGGUGCGCCAAUAACUUCCGGGUAGGUCGCUGAUGAGUUGGCGCAGCAAUGCGCUACCUAGAGGAAUGAUCAUCGUGCCCGGAUUUCGAUUCGGACACACAGAAUUCGGCUUACAGGUUCAGUUGCUUC
This 427-nucleotide RNase P RNA is filed under the name Acidobacteriota bacterium. RNAcentral's name for it is "Acidobacteria bacterium RNase P RNA component class A". It matches the Rfam family "Bacterial RNase P class A". From Rfam's summary of the family: Ribonuclease P (RNase P) is a ubiquitous endoribonuclease, found in archaea, bacteria and eukarya as well as chloroplasts and mitochondria. Its best characterised activity is the generation of mature 5'-ends of tRNAs by cleaving the 5'-leader elements of precursor-tRNAs. Lineage: Bacteria; Pseudomonadati; Acidobacteriota. The record is from RNAcentral.